GCUAGAUGUGAGCACUCAGCGCUGUGUGAAGCUAGGUGUGAGCACUCAGCACUGUGUGAAGCUAGGUGUGAGCACUCAGCACUGUGUGAAGCUAGGAGUGAGCACUCAGUGCUGUGUGAAGCUAGGUGUGUGCACUCAGCACUGUGUGAAGCUAGGUGUGAGCACUCAGCACUGUGUGAAGCUAGGUGUGAGCACUCAGCACUGUGUGAAGCUAGGAGUGAGCACUCAGCACUGUGUGAAGCUAGGAGUGAGCACUCAGCACUGUGUGAAGCUAGGUGUGUGCACUCAGCACUGUGUGAAGCUAGCUGUGAGCCCUUAGCACUGUGUGAAGCUAGGUGCGAGCAUUAAGCACUGUGUAACGCUGGGUGUGAGCACUCAGCACUGUGUGAAGUUAGGAGUGAGCACUCAGCACUGUGUGAAACUAGGAGUGAGCACUCAGCACUGUGUGAAACUAGGAGUGAGCACUCAGCACUGUGUGAAGCUCGGAGUGAGCACUCAG
Non-coding RNA from Pelobates cultripes (western spadefoot toad), 499 nucleotides. NCBI's taxonomy places the organism in Eukaryota, Metazoa, Chordata, Amphibia, Anura, Pelobatidae. The record is from the annotation of a GenBank genome assembly.